Molecule: ribosomal RNA, 292 nt
Filed under: uncultured bacterium
Lineage: Bacteria
Description: partial 16S ribosomal RNA
Rfam family: Bacterial small subunit ribosomal RNA
Source: RNAcentral
GUGCCAGCAGCCGCGGUAAUACAGAGAGUGCGAACGUUGUUCGGAAUUACUGGGCUUAAAGCGCACGUAGGCGGCGCCGCAAGUGCGGGGUGAAAUCCCACGGCUUACCCGUGGAACUGCCUUGCAGACUGUGGUGCUAGAGGAUGGUAGGGGAGAGCGGAACUCCUGGUGGAGCGGUGAAAUGCGUAGAUAUCAGGAGGAACACCGGUGGCGAAGGCGGCUCUCUGGUCCAUGACUGACGCUGAGGUGCGAAAGCUAGGGGAGCAAACGGGAUUAGAAACCCUCGUAGUCC